GUGUCAGCAGCCGCGGUAAUACGUAGGGGGCGAGCGUUGUCCGGAUUCAUUGGGCGUAAAGAGCUCGUAGGCGGCUUGUCAAGUCGGGUGUGAAACCUCCAGGCUCAACCUGGAGACGCCACUCGAGACUGUCAUGGCUAGAGUCCGGUAGGGGAUCACGGAAUUCCUGGUGUAGCGGUGAAAUGCGCAGAUAUCAGGAGGAACACCGAUGGCGAAGGCAGUGAUCUGGGCCGGUACUGACGCUGAGGAGCGAAAGCGUGGGUAGCAAACAGGAUUAGAUACCCUGGUAGUCC
RNAcentral lists this ribosomal RNA (293 nucleotides) under uncultured bacterium. RNAcentral describes it as "partial 16S ribosomal RNA". It matches the Rfam family "Bacterial small subunit ribosomal RNA", at positions 505 to 796 of the family's 1533-position model. The record is from RNAcentral.